AGUCGAGCGGGGGAGAGGUAGCUUUGCUACCUAGACCUAGCGGCGGACGGGUGAGUAAUGCUUAGGAAUCUGCCUAUUAGUGGGGGACAACAUUCCGAAAGGAAUGCUAAUACCGCAUACGCCCUACGGGGGAAAGCAGGGGAUCUUCGGACCUUGCGCUAAUAGAUGAGCCUAAGUCAGAUUAGCUAGUUGGUGGGGUAAAGGCCUACCAAGGCGACGAUCUGUAGCGGGUCUGAGAGGAUGAUCCGCCACACUGGGACUGAGACACGGCCCAGACUCCUACGGGAGGCAGCAGUGGGGAAUAUUGGACAAUGGGCGCAAGCCUGAUCCAGCCAUGCCGCGUGUGUGAAGAAGGCCUUUUGGUUGUAAAGCACUUUAAGCGAGGAGGAGGCUACUGGGAUUAAUACUCUAGGAUAGUGGACGUUACUCGCAGAAUAAGCACCGGCUAACUCUGUGCCAGCAGCCGCGGUAAUACAGAGGGUGCGAGCGUUAAUCGGAUUUACUGGGCGUAAAGCGUGCGUAGGCGGCUUUUUAAGUCGGAUGUGAAAUCCCUGAGCUUAACUUAGGAAUUGCAUUCGAUACUGGGAAGCUAGAGUAUGGGAGAGGAUGGUAGAAUUCCAGGUGUAGCGGUGAAAUGCGUAGAGAUCUGGAGGAAUACCGAUGGCGAAGGCAGCCAUCUGGCCUAAUACUGACGCUGAGGUACGAAAGCAUGGGGAGCAAACAGGAUUAGAUACCCUGGUAGUCCAUGCCGUAAACGAUGUCUACUAGCCGUUGGGGCCUUUGAGGCUUUAGUGGCGCAGCUAACGCGAUAAGUAGACCGCCUGGGGAGUACGGUCGCAAGACUAAAACUCAAAUGAAUUGACGGGGGCCCGCACAAGCGGUGGAGCAUGUGGUUUAAUUCGAUGCAACGCGAAGAACCUUA
Molecule: ribosomal RNA, 922 nt
Filed under: Acinetobacter sp. Pao88
Lineage: Bacteria; Pseudomonadati; Pseudomonadota; Gammaproteobacteria; Moraxellales; Moraxellaceae
Description: bacterial SSU rRNA
Rfam family: Bacterial small subunit ribosomal RNA
Source: RNAcentral